AUGAAAGCGAGAUUUCGUAAGCAUGCUGGUGAGGUGAAUAGUGCUCAUUGUGAAGCCGAAGAGAAAUAUAAUUUGUUCAUCAAACCUAAAGCAUCAAUCCGUGAGGCCAUUUCCUCACGGACCACACAGUACAAGGCUGAGUAUCUAGCUCGAUUAAAAUGGUCACUUGAGUGCAUAAAAUUUAUUUUGCAUCAGGGGUUGGCUUUUAGUGGUCAUGAUGAGGGAAAGGAUUCUAAAAAUAAAGGAAAUUUCCGAGAACUUUUGCAAUGGCUGGCAGGCAACUUUGAAGAAGUUAAUAAGGUUGUUUUAGGAAAUGCUCCACAAAAUUGUCAGAUGAUAGAUCACAAGAUUCAAAAACAGCUUAUUAGUUCUUGUGCUCAUGAAACAACAAAAUUUGUCAUAGAGGAACUUGGUGAUGAGUGUUUCGCAAUUCUUGCUGAUGAAUCUAGUGAUGCAUACCAACAAGAACAGUUAGCUCUUUGCUUGCGAUUUGUCAAUAAAAUAGGGGAGCCGGUUGAAAGGUUUCUUGGUCUUGCUCAAGUUGAGGAUACUACAUCAUUGACUCUUAAAGAAGCAAUUCAGACCUUGCUUAUGAAGUAUCAACUGCCGAUAUCCAAGGUACGUGGGCAAGGGUAUGACGGUGCGAGUAACAUGAAGGGUCAUGUUAAUGGUUUGAAGAAACUAAUCAUGGAAGAUUCUCCUUCUGCUUAUUAUGUUCAUUGCUUCGCCCAUCAGCUUCAACUAACCCUUGUAGCUGUUGCUAAGGAGAAUAUUGAUUGCAAAUGGUUCUUUGGGCACCUUGCAUAUUUGUUGAAUGUUCUUGGGAUGUCAUGUAAAAAGAUCCGCAUGCUUCGCGUAGCUCAAGCUGAGUAUAUGAUUGAAGCAUUGAAACUAGGUGAAAUUGAAGCUAGCCAAGGUUUGAGUCAAGAGAUGGGCCUAGCAAGGCCCGGGGGAUCUCACUACAAAACGGUAAUGCAUGUUAUGUCUUUGUAUCCUUCAAUCAGGAAAGUUCUCUUUAGGCUUGGGAAAGAAAGUAAUUCAGCAGAGGCUUUAGGAGCUCAAACUAUGUUGGAAGUAUUUAAAUCAUUUGAGUUUGUUUUCAUGUUGCACUUGAUGAAUGAAAUAUUUGGGUACACAAGUGACUUAAGUAACGCUUUGCAAAAGAGGGAUCAAGAUAUUGUGAAUGCAGUUGAUCUUCUCGAGUUCACAAAGGUACAACUGCAAGUUCUAAGAGAAGAUGAUGGAUGGAAAGACUUCCUUGAGAAUGUCACUUCUUUUUAUGUGAAGCACAAUGUCAUAUGUGUUGACAUGGAUGGGAAGUACAAGCCUAUACAAAGAGCAAGAGCGUUCUAUAAAAAUGCCAUGAAUUACCACCGGUUCCAUGCUGAUAUGUUGUUGGGUGUCAUUGAUAGGCAACUUCAAGAGCUUAAUAACAGGUUUGAUGAGGUAAACACGGAGCUACUUAGAUGCAUGGCAUCAUUCAGUCCAGCCAAGUCAUUUUCUUAUUUUAAUAUUGAUGACUUGGUUAAGCUUGCUGGGUUCUAUCCUCAUGAUUUUGACUUUGAAGAAAUGCACCAACUUCCUUUUCAAUUGAAUCUCUAUAUUACUGAUGUGAGGAAUGAUGAAAACUUCACAAACUUGAGAAGUCUAGCAGAGUUGUCUAUGAUACUUGUUAAAACAGGGAGGGCUCUUCGGUAUGAUAUUGUUUACAAACUUCUCAAAUUGGUGCUAGUCCUUCCUGUUGCAACAGCCGGUGUUGAGAGGGUCUUUUCAUCAAUGAACUAUAUAAAAAACAAGCUAAGAAGCAAGAUGGGGCAAAAAUACUUGAGUGGUUGCUUGGUCACAUUCAUUGAAAGGGAUUUCUUCUUGCAAGUUAAGGAUGAGGACAUUAUCACACAUUUUCAAAGCAUCAAGGAUCGCAAAGUUAUCCUGUGA
RNAcentral lists this ribosomal RNA (1935 nucleotides) under Triticum aestivum (bread wheat). RNAcentral's name for it is "partial small subunit ribosomal RNA". The record is from RNAcentral. Lineage: Eukaryota; Viridiplantae; Streptophyta; Magnoliopsida; Poales; Poaceae.